This 465-nucleotide long non-coding RNA is filed under the name Capra hircus (goat). Its description in RNAcentral is "lncRNA (ENSCHIG00010014984.1)". The record is from RNAcentral. Lineage: Eukaryota; Metazoa; Chordata; Mammalia; Artiodactyla; Bovidae.
UGAGCCCUGCCGCUCCUGGUCCUCAGGCCAGACGCUCAGCCCUGGGCCAGUCGGGCUGCUUAGAACCCAAGCUGUGAGAAGCCAGGAGGGGCGAGAGGGGGCCCUGCCCUCUGCCUCCCAACCAGGAACCCAGCGCCCUCGGUCAGGGGCCAGACCAGUCCUGCCCAACGAAGGGGCAGCUCCCAGUUCUGCGAGGUCUGGUUCCAAAACCGCCGCGCCAAGUGGAGGAAGAAGGAGAACACCAAGAAGGGCCCGGGGCGGCCGGCGCACAACUCCCACCCGACCACGUGCAGCGGGGAGCCGAUGGACCCGGAGGAGAUCGCGCGCAAGGAGCUGGAGAAGAUGGAGAAAAAGAAGCGGAAGCACGAGAAGAAGCUGCUCAAGAGCCAGAGCCGCCACCUGCACUCGCCCGGCGGCCUGUCCCUGCACAGCGCGCCCAGCUCCGACAGCGACAGCGGCGGCGGC